RNAcentral lists this small nucleolar RNA (111 nucleotides) under Otolemur garnettii (small-eared galago). RNAcentral's name for it is "Small nucleolar RNA U3". It matches the Rfam family "Small nucleolar RNA U3". From Rfam's summary of the family: Small nucleolar RNAs (snoRNAs) are involved in the processing and modification of rRNA in the nucleolus. There are two main classes of snoRNAs: the box C/D class, and the box H/ACA class. Lineage: Eukaryota; Metazoa; Chordata; Mammalia; Primates; Galagidae. The record is from Rfam by way of RNAcentral.
AAGACUAUACUUUCAGGGAUCAUUUCUAUAGUUCGUUACUAGAGAAGUCUCUCUGAAUGUGUAAAACUUGUGGAUUUGAUGUUGGGUAAAAUAUAUAAUUCUUUGAUAAAU